This 5503-nucleotide long non-coding RNA is filed under the name Homo sapiens (human). Its description in RNAcentral is "HSALNT0189024". Lineage: Eukaryota; Metazoa; Chordata; Mammalia; Primates; Hominidae. The record is from RNAcentral.
GCGUGAGCCACCGUGCCCGGCCAGAUUAUUUUCUAAGAAAACAUUUUAUUAUGGAUUUCUAAAAAAAGUUAUUUUAGAUUCAGGGCAUGUGCAGGUUUGUUACAUGGGUGUAGUGAGUUAUGCUGAGCUUUGGGCUUCUAAUGAUCCUGUCACCCAAGUAGUGAACAUAGUACCCCAUAGGUAGUUUUCCAACCCUUCCCCUGUCUUCCGCCUUUUGGAGUCCCCAGUGUUUUUUGUUCCCAUCUUUGUGUCCAUGUGUACCCAAUGUUUAGCCUCCACUUAUAAAUGAGAACAUGCAUUAUUUGGUUUUUUGUUCCUGCGUCAGUUCACUUAGGGUACUGGCCUCCAGCUGCAUCCAUGUUGCUGCAAAGGACAUAGUUUUGUUCUCUUUGUGGCUGCGUAGUAUUCCAUGGUGUAUACAUACUACAGUUUCUUUAUUCAAUCCACCAUUGAUGGGCACCUGGGUUGAUUCCAUUUCUUUGCUAUUGUUAAUAGUGCUGCAAUAAAUAUAUGAGUGCAGAUGUCUUUUUGACAGAACAAUUUAUUUUCCUUUGGGUAUAUACCAAGUAAUGGGAUUGUUGGGUCUAAUGCUAGUUCUAUUUUUAGUUCUUUGAGAAAUCUCCAAACUGCUUUCCACAGGGGCUGAACUAAUUUGCAUUCCCACCAACAGUGUAGAAGUGUUCACUUUUCUCCACAACCAUGCCAAAGUCUGUUAUUUUUUGACUUUUUAAUAAUAGUCGUUCUGACUGAUGUGAAAUGGAGUCUCUUUGUGGUUCUGAUUUGCAUCUCUGAUGAUGCAUGAUGUUGACCAGUUUUUAAUAUGUUUGUUGACUGCUUGUAUGUCUUCUUUUAAGAAGUGUCUGUUCAUAUCCUUUGCCCUUUCGCUUCUAUGCACCAAUAACACCCAGGCUGAGAGUCAAACCAAGAACACAAUCCUGACUACAGUAGCCAUAAAGAAAAUGAAAUACCUGGGAAUACACCUAAUCAAAAACAUGAAAGCACUCUCUAGAGGGAGAACUACAAAACAUUGCUGAAAGAAAUCAGAGAUGAUUCUCUGAAAAAGAAGUCAGAUUAGAAAUGAUUCUCUGAAAAAGAAAUCAUCUCUGAUUUCUUUCAGCAGUGUGUUUUUUGUUUGUUUGUUUGUUUUGAGACAGAGUCUUGCUCUGUCGCCAAGGCUGGAGGGCAAUGGCAUGAUUUCAGCUCACUACAACCUCCUGCUCCUGGGUUCGAGCGAUUCUCCUACCUCAGCCUCCCGAGUAGCUGGGAUUACAGGUGCGCACCACCAUGCCCAGCUAAUUUUUGUAUUUUAGUAGAGACGAAGUUUCACUAUGUUGGCCAGGCUGGUCUGAAACUCCUGGCCUCAGGUGAUCCACCCACCUCAGCCUCCCAAAGUGCUGGGAUUACAGGUAUGAGCCACUGCCCCUGGCCUCAAAAUCUUUAAGGAAGUUAUUUAUCGUCACAAGUGUUGUCAUCUGUGACUCAUGGGCCACUUGAUGAACCUGAACCAUUAGUGGUUGUCCAGAUCCUCCAACUUUUUCAGGCAGUAUUCCAAUCAGGGUUUUACGACACCAGGGUAUCCCACCUUUUUUGCAACAUAGGCAGAAACACCAAGCUGUGGGUAAUUGAUGUGCGUGUCACUGAUUCCUGCAACAGCUUUGAAUGUAUUAAAUCUGUUUUCAACAGCCCUUGCAUAGGUGUUAUCUCUCAAAUCUCUGUAAAGAGCACUAAGAGUAUGUAGUGUUGCAUGAUAUAAUCCAAGCCUGUGGGCUGUGUCAUCCGGGAUUGUUGGAAUUUUGCAUGUGUCUGUUCCAUAUCCCGCUGGUAACCAGCUUACAGACCUUCUGUCAGGUUGGCUUACAUUAUCAUCAACAGGUUGCCGUAGUGAUGAUAUGAUGCUGGACACAAUCAUUGUGCACUUUGUUAAUUUGGUAUGGUGGUGCCACACAUUAUCACUGUACAGCAUUAACAAGGCUGGAAUAUGGCCCUCUGCUGUAGGGGGCGUGGCACCUGUGACUUGCACUGGAAUAAGUAGGAGGCUUUCCCCAAAGGAUAUGGAGACUGAUGUGUGCUCCAUAUCUUGAGGGGAGCUCUCUUGGUUUCCUUUGGCCGGGUCUGUUAGUUACUUUUGAAGGCCAUGCCAACCCUUUUAGGCCAUUAAAUUUUUCUCAAACAAUAGCCAGCCUCAUUUCUGCUUCAUCUCUGUGGUAGGAACCAUUCCCUACUCUUACUCCCUCCUCUUGUCCAACUUCCACCAAACACUCAAUCCGAGUCCUGGCUGCUUUCUUGCUUAGGUCUGUGGCUGGUCACUGUGGUGAAAGAGUCAAGGUGGGCAGUGUUUGGGGUAGGAAAUGAGUAGUGGUGAAGCAGCAGCAGUGUGUGUGUGGGUGUGGGUGUGUGUGCAUGCGUGUGCAUUUGCAUGUGUGUAUGUUGACAAAUGAGAGUGUAGCCAUAAGAUUUCAUUGUUACUACUAGUCUUUGUGUACCUAUCUGGAGGGACAUUAAAAAAAUAUGGCCAUUCUCCCAUCUAGGGGGUUCCCAUCUCAGACUUCUCUGAUAAGAGUAAUUUGAGAACAAAUACAGAUUCAUCUAUGGGAAAAGAUGUUUAAACUCAGCAUGAAGGAGAAACAAAUUUAGGAGUGGAAAGCAAGGCAGGUAGUUAGGUGAUUUCCAUGACCACAUUUGCUUGGGCCAGGGAAGUGGUGCACCUCUUUUAUAACAAUGGGAGAUUUCAGAAACAGUUUGAGUGUUGGCAGACCAAUGCCCUGAUAAGCUUGUGGUAUAGAGGUAGGAAGGGAGGGAGGCCAGAGAUUAGAUAAAAUGAUGGUGGGUGGGAUCUUAGCUCUAAAUGAAAAGAACUGGACUUACUAAGUGGGUGGAUUACUUGCUAGCCAUAACUUUUAGGGAAGGGUAGGUCUGGAGAGAAGGUGAAGACCAGCAGAAAUAUACUGUGAAAUUGCCAAAUAUGUUUGGUUGCAGAAAACACAGCCUGGCUCUUUGUGGCUAGAUGUGACUUCCAACUUCUGAAGACAGGAUUGCCAAGAGAUGUGAUCUUUCCACAUACAGCUCCUGUCCCCAUCUCUUUAUGUGUAGAGACCUGGAUUUGGGGUAGUGGGGUAGUAAACCAUAUAUUUCCAAAAGAUGGUGUGAAGAGUCGUUUCUCUUCGUCUGGGAUGUGAUUGGCUUUUGUUUUUUGUUUUUUGUUUUUGAGACGGAGUCUCGCUCUGUCGCUUUGUCACCAGGCUGGAGUGCAAUGGCACAAUCUCAGCUCACUGCAACCUCCGCCUCCUGGCUUCAAGUGAUUCUCCUGCCUCAGCCUCCUGAGUAGCUGGGACUAUAGGCGCGCACCACCAUGCCCAGCUAAUUUUUGUAUUUUUAGUAGAGAUGGGAUUUCACCAUGUUGGCCAGGAUGGUCUUGAUCUCUUGACCUCAUGAUCCACCCGCCUUGGCCUCCCAAAGUGCUGGGAUUACAGGCUUGAGCUACUGCGCCCGGCCAGUGAUUGGCUUUUAAAUUAAUCACAAAUGUUUGAUAAAAUUCUGGUAUGUGCUAAGUCCCAGGCUUGGUUGAUAUCUCAGACUAUGAUAGCUGUGACCUUCAAGAAAUUUCUGGCUUGGGGAAUCUGUAGUUUCUGGUUGUCCAAAAAAGAUAGUUCUUAGUCCUACUUUAUUUUCUACCCACUCAACUCUCCAGACUUCCCUCUUAGUAAAGGAAUUCAUAAUUCUCCCUGCAUCUUCUCUGUUUAUUUCAAUGUCCAUGUUCUGAGUCUCAAGUUUUCCUGAAGCACAGGAGCAGGCUUGGCCCCAGAGCCCCUGGCUUUUUCAACGAGCAUCAGAAAUGCUAUCAAUAUAUUCUCUCUGUUGCUUUAUCAGCUUCUCUAAAUUUAUUUUGUAAGGAAGUUAGCACCUCCUUCCAGGACUUUAAACAGUUGUCUUUGCCAAUUUGUUCCUGGAUUUUCCUUGAACUUCUCAGGUUUCCAAGCCACAUCCUAGCAGGGCAUCCAGGAGCCUUGCACUGAACCUCUCAGCUCUUUUGACUUUCUUCUGGUCAUAGGUGUUGGGCCUCCCAUUAGGUAGAAGUCCUUUGAGCAGACCCGAAAUGGCCAAAUGAGACAUCAUCCAAGUUCCUCCCUCCUUUACUGUCUCGGCUUUUUCAAGCACCCCUUUCACCUCUCUUUUCUGCCUUUUCCUCAGUCUGUCAAGUUCUUUGGAGGAAAGAAGUUCUUGGUCAGAGGUCCUAAAACCACCACCAGCUGGGGGUGCUGAGAAUGGUGAGGAGUUGGACAGUCCCGGGGCUUUUUUGAAAGGGGACUUUAUGGUCAUUUCCCCUGUUUAGGGUGAGGGACUAAGAAUUCUCAAGCCUUCAGUUUCAUCCAUAUUUCAAUGUAAGCAGAAAAGCACAUCUCAAAGCCAAAUAGAAAUGAUUUUCUACUAAGCCUAUCCUUUGUGAUUCUUGGUUCCCUUGGUCUCUUAAUAUUAAUUAUAGAGAAUGGGCAGUUGAGUCAGUUAACAUCUUUUCAUCAGAAAGGAGGGUAAUAUUCAUAACCAAAAGAGAUGUAAAGGAAGUAUAUUACUGCUUGAAGUGUGAAAAGAGGAAAGGAGUGUUAUGUGAACCUUUUCAGUAGGGAAAUUCAGAAAAUGGAAUGAUUCAUCCAUAGGCAUAAUUCUUUUAGGAGAUUCUGUGCUCAAAGGGAAGGGAAUGGUUUCUGAUCCUUCUGAAGAGAAAAGGAAUAGCAUUUUUCUUAAACCUAACCCAGUUUCAGCAUUGGAGAAUACAGAACUUUUUCUUCUAGCUGAUGGCAUUAAUAUUUCUUGAGAGAGAGAACUCACCCAUGGCACUUUUCUGAGCCCAGCAGAAAUCAGCGGAGCUUGGGCUUCGCUUAGCAGGUUUGCAAUUGACUUCAACAUGCAGGCUUUUCACAUGUGCAAUAAUGCUGGAAACAGAAGCACCAAACUGAUUGUGCAAUUACUCCUUUUGUAGAAGAGGCCAAAAUCCUCCUCCUCCUUCCUUUCUCCUAUAUUCACUCCUCCAGGAUCAUAAAGCCUCCCUCUUGUUUAUCUGUGUCUGUCUGUCUGAUUGGUUAGAUUUGGCUGCCCUUCCAAGCUAAUGGUGUCAGGUGGAGAACAGAGCAACCUUCCCUCGGAAGGAGACAAUUCGAGGUGCUGGUACAUUUCCCUUGUUUUCUAUGUUCUUCUUUCUAGUGGGUCUCAUGUAGAGAUAGAGAUAUUUUUUUGUUUUAGAGAUUCCAAAGUAUAUAUUUUUAGUGUAAGAAAUGUACCCUCUCCACACUCCAUGAUGUAAAUAGAACCAGGAAUAAAUGUGUCAUUGUGAUAAUCCCAUAGCAAUUUAUGGUAAGAACAAGACCCCUUUCCCUCACCACCGAGUCUCGUGGUCUGUGUCUGUGAACCAGGGCAGGUAAUUGUGACACUGCAUCUCAUAGAACUCUGCCUGCCCAGAUUUUUGUGUGCUCACCUCAAUGGGUGAAAAAUAAAGUCUGUGUAAACUGUU